UACGGGGGGGCAAGCGUUGUUCGGAAUUACUGGGCGUAAAGGGCUCGUAGGCGGCCAACUAAGUCAGACGUGAAAUCCCUCGGCUUAACCGGGGAACUGCGUCUGAUACUGGAUGGCUUGAGUUUGGGAGAGGGAUGUGGAAUUCCUGGUGUAGCGGUGAAAUGCGCAGAUAUCAGGAAGAACACCCGUGGCGAAGGCGGCUCUCUGGGACGGUACUGACGCUGAGACGCGAAAGCGUGGGGAGCGAACAGG
Molecule: ribosomal RNA, 252 nt
Filed under: uncultured bacterium
Lineage: Bacteria
Description: partial 16S ribosomal RNA
Rfam family: Bacterial small subunit ribosomal RNA
Source: RNAcentral